AUGGGUGAUGGGGCUGAUGGCUACGGCAUCUUCCGUCAAACUAUUUCUUCGUGUCUACCUGCAGGCUCUCAACUCCCAACACCAAUUCCUUCAGCUUCCAUUCUUCAUCACAGUAACAGGGAGAAGCUUCUGCGUCAUCAGGAAGGGAAGUGCCUCUCAGUUGUGUUGCUCUUGGAUGCGAUGGUGCCGUGGAAGAUGGAGGCGCGCCUGGCCGAGACGGUGUGGGUGGUGCUCCUCGGCUGGGUCUCCUCCUGCCUCACCGUCGCCGGCGACGUCGCGCGGGCGCUCAGAAGCAGCGAUCUCUCCGUCUAA
This 312-nucleotide ribosomal RNA is filed under the name Triticum aestivum (bread wheat). RNAcentral's name for it is "partial small subunit ribosomal RNA". The record is from RNAcentral. Lineage: Eukaryota; Viridiplantae; Streptophyta; Magnoliopsida; Poales; Poaceae.